This 1399-nucleotide ribosomal RNA is filed under the name Serratia liquefaciens. Its description in RNAcentral is "partial 23S ribosomal RNA". It matches the Rfam family "Bacterial large subunit ribosomal RNA", at positions 1552 to 2925 of the family's 2925-position model. Lineage: Bacteria; Pseudomonadati; Pseudomonadota; Gammaproteobacteria; Enterobacterales; Yersiniaceae. The record is from RNAcentral.
AACCCUGAGGCGUGAUGACGAUGCACUACGGUGCAGAAGUAGUUGAUGCCAAGCUUCCAGGAAAAGCCUCUAAGCAUCAGGUAACACAGAAUCGUACCCCAAACCGACACAGGUGGUCAGGUAGAGAAUACCAAGGCGCUUGAGAGAACUCGGGUGAAGGAACUAGGCAAAAUGGUGCCGUAACUUCGGGAGAAGGCACGCUGGCGCGUAGGUGAAGAGACUUGCUCUCGGAGCUGAAGCCAGUCGCAGAUACCAGCUGGCUGCAACUGUUUAAUAAAAACACAGCACUGUGCAAACACGAAAGUGGACGUAUACGGUGUGACGCCUGCCCGGUGCUGGAAGGUUAAUUGAUGGGGUCAGCCGCAAGGCGAAGCUCUUGAUCGAAGCCCCAGUAAACGGCGGCCGUAACUAUAACGGUCCUAAGGUAGCGAAAUUCCUUGUCGGGUAAGUUCCGACCUGCACGAAUGGCGUAAUGAUGGCCAGGCUGUCUCCACCCGAGACUCAGUGAAAUUGAACUCGCUGUGAAGAUGCAGUGUACCCGCGGCAAGACGGAAAGACCCCGUGAACCUUUACUAUAGCUUGACACUGAACAUUGAGCCUUGAUGUGUAGGAUAGGUGGGAGGCUUUGAAGCGUGGACGCCAGUCUGCGUGGAGCCAACCUUGAAAUACCACCCUUUAAUGUUUGAUGUUCUAACUCGGCCCCAUAAUCUGGGGUGAGGACAGUGUCUGGUGGGUAGUUUGACUGGGGCGGUCUCCUCCCAAAGAGUAACGGAGGAGCACGAAGGUUAGCUAAUCACGGUCGGACAUCGUGAGGUUAGUGCAAAGGCAUAAGCUAGCUUGACUGCGAGAGUGACGGCUCGAGCAGGUACGAAAGUAGGUCUUAGUGAUCCGGUGGUUCUGAAUGGAAGGGCCAUCGCUCAACGGAUAAAAGGUACUCCGGGGAUAACAGGCUGAUACCGCCCAAGAGUUCAUAUCGACGGCGGUGUUUGGCACCUCGAUGUCGGCUCAUCACAUCCUGGGGCUGAAGUAGGUCCCAAGGGUAUGGCUGUUCGCCAUUUAAAGUGGUACGCGAGCUGGGUUUAGAACGUCGUGAGACAGUUCGGUCCCUAUCUGCCGUGGGCGUUGGAAGAUUGAGAGGGGUUGCUCCUAGUACGAGAGGACCGGAGUGAACGCACCACUGGUGUUCGGGUUGUCAUGCCAAUGGCACUGCCCGGUAGCUAAGUGCGGAAAAGAUAAGCGCUGAAAGCAUCUAAGCGCGAAACUUGCCUCGAGAUGAGUCUUCCCUGGGCCUUUAAGGCCCCUGAAGGAACGUUUAAGACUAAGACGUUGAUAGGCUGGGUGUGUAAGUGCAGCGAUGCAUUGAGCUAACCAGUACUAAUGAUCCGUGAGGCUUAACCUU